RNAcentral lists this ribosomal RNA (521 nucleotides) under uncultured bacterium. Its description in RNAcentral is "bacterial SSU rRNA". It matches the Rfam family "Bacterial small subunit ribosomal RNA", at positions 777 to 1297 of the family's 1533-position model. The record is from RNAcentral.
AAUAGAUACCCAGGUAGUCCACGCCGUAAACGAUGAGUGCUAGGUGUCGGGGGGUCCUACCCUCGGUGCCGAAGGUAACCCAUUAAGCACUCCGCCUGGGGAGUACGGCCGCAAGGCUGAAACUCAAAGGAAUUGACGGGGGGCCCGCACAAGCGGUGGAGCAUGUGGUUUAAUUCGAAGCAACGCGAAGAACCUUACCAGGGCUUGACAUCCCGCUGACCGCUCCAGAGAUGGAGCUUCCCUUCGGGGCAGCGGUGACAGGUGGUGCAUGGUUGUCGUCAGCUCGUGUCGUGAGAUGUUGGGUUCAGUCCCGCAACGAGCGCAACCCUUAUCGCUAGUUGCCAGCAUUCAGUUGGGCACGUCUAGCGAGACAGCCGGUGAAAGCCGGAGGAAGGUGGGGAUGACGUCAAAUCAUCAUGCCCCUUAUGUCCUGGGCUACACACGUGCUACAAUGGCCGGUACAGAGGGCGUGCGAUGUCGUGAGGCGGAGCGAAUCCCGAUAAAGUACGUCUCGGUUCGGA